This 490-nucleotide ribosomal RNA is filed under the name uncultured bacterium. Its description in RNAcentral is "partial 16S ribosomal RNA". It matches the Rfam family "Bacterial small subunit ribosomal RNA", at positions 30 to 507 of the family's 1533-position model. The record is from RNAcentral.
AUUGAACGCUGGCGGCAGGCCUAACACAUGCAAGUCGAACGGUAACAGGAAGAUGCUUGCUUCUUUGCUGACGAGUGGCGGACGGGUGAGUAAUGUCCGGGAAACUGCCUGAUGGAGGGGGAUAACUACUGGAAACGGUAGCUAAUACCGCAUAACGUCGCAAGACCAAAGAGGGGGACCUUCGGGCCUCUUGCCAUCGGAUGUGCCCAGAUGGGAUUAGCUAGUAGGUGGGGUAACGGCUCACCUAGGCGACGAUCCCUAGCUGGUCUGAGAGGAUGACCAGCCACACUGGAACUGAGACACGGUCCAGACUCCUACGGGAGGCAGCAGUGGGGAAUAUUGCACAAUGGGCGAAAGCCUGAUGCAGCCAUGCCGCGUGUAUGAAGAAGGCCUUCGGGUUGUAAAGUACUUUCAGCGGGGAGGAAGAGAAUAAAGUUAAUACCUUUGCUCAUUGACGGUACCCGCAGAAGAAGCACCGGCUAACUCCGUG